CCUACGGGAGGCUGCAGUAGGGAAUUUUCCACAAUGGACGAAAGCCUGAUGGAGCAACGCCGCGUGAGUGAAGAAGGUCUUCGGCUCGUAAAGCCCUGUUGGUAGUGAAGAAAGAUAGAGGUAGUAACUGGCCUUGAUUUGACGGUAACUACUCAGAAAGUCACGGCUAACUACGUGCCAGCAGCCGCGGUAAUACGUAGGUGGCAAGCGUUGUCCGGCUUUAUUGGGCGUAAAGGGAGCGCAGGCGGUCUUUUAAGUCUGAUGUGAAAGCCUUCGGCUCAACCGGAGAAGUGCAUCAGAAACUGGUAAACUUGAGUGCAGAAGAGGAGAGUGGAACUCCAUGUGUAGCGGUGAAAUGCGUAGAUAUAUGGAAGAACACCAGUGGCGAAGGCGGCUCUCUGGUCUGCAACUGACGCUGAGGUUCGAAAGCGUGGGUAGCGAACAGGAUUAGAUACCCCUGUAGUC
Molecule: ribosomal RNA, 465 nt
Filed under: uncultured bacterium
Lineage: Bacteria
Description: partial 16S ribosomal RNA
Rfam family: Bacterial small subunit ribosomal RNA
Source: RNAcentral